Molecule: long non-coding RNA, 253 nt
Organism: Rosa chinensis
Lineage: Eukaryota; Viridiplantae; Streptophyta; Magnoliopsida; Rosales; Rosaceae
Exons: 3
Source: RefSeq, a predicted model, not a curated record
AUGCGUUCCGGUCGAUUGGAUCGUAAAUUUGAGUUUCCACAUCCCACUGAAGAAGCAAGAGCUCGGAUUCUGCAGAUUCACUCUAGGAAGAUGAAUGUUCACCCGGACGUCAAUUUUGAAGAAUUAGCUCGCUCUACUGAUGAUUCAAUGGUGCACAACUAAACGCAGUUUGUGUGGAGGCAGGCAUGCUGGCCCUUCGCCGUGAUGCAACUGAGAUGAGCCUGAUGAUUCCAUGCAUACAUUUACUGGUCAU